AGUGAACGCUGGCGGUAGGCCUAACACAUGCAAGUCGAACGGCAGCACAGAGGAGCUUGCUCCUUGGGUGGCGAGUGGCGGACGGGUGAGGAAUACAUCGGGAUCUACUCUGUUGUGGGGGAGAACGUAGGGAAACUUACGCUAAUACCGCAUACGACCUACGGGUGAAAGCAGGGGAUCUUCGGACCUUGCGCGAUUGAAUGCGCCGAUGUCGGAUUAGCUAGUUGGCGGGGUAAAGGCCCACCAGGGCGACGAUCCGUAGCUGGUCAGAGAGGAUGAUCAGCCACACCGGAACUGAGACACGGUCCAGACUCCUACGGGAGGCAGCAGUGGGGAAUAUUGGACAAUGGGCGCAAGCCUGAUCCAGCCAUACCGCGUGGGUGAAGAAGGCCUUCGGGUUGUAAAGCCCUUUUGUUGGGAAAGAAAUCCAUCUGGUUAAUACCCGGGUGGGAUGACGGUACCCAAAGAAUAAGCACCGGCUAACUUCGUGCCAGCCGCCGCGGUAA
RNAcentral lists this ribosomal RNA (506 nucleotides) under uncultured bacterium. Its description in RNAcentral is "partial 16S ribosomal RNA". It matches the Rfam family "Bacterial small subunit ribosomal RNA", at positions 29 to 523 of the family's 1533-position model. The record is from RNAcentral.